CUAAGCAUAUCAAUAAGCGGAGGAAAAGAAACCAACAGGGAUUGCCCCAGUAACGGCGAGUGAAGCGGCAAGAGCUCAAAUUUGAAAUCUGGCCUCCUCCGGGGGUCCGAGUUGUAAUUUGCAGAGGAUGCUUCGGGUGCGGCCCCCGUCUAAGUUCCUUGGAACAGGACGUCAGAGAGGGUGAGAAUCCCGUCUUGGGCGGGCGGCCCGCGCCCGUGUGAAGCUCCUUCGACGAGUCGAGUUGUUUGGGAAUGCAGCUCUAAGCGGGUGGUAAAUUUCAUCUAAAGCUAAAUAUUGGCCGGAGACCGAUAGCGCACAAGUAGAGUGAUCGAAAGGUUAAAAGCACCUUGAAAAGGGAGUUAAACAGCACGUGAAAUUGUUGAAAGGGAAGCGCUUGCGGCCAGACUCGGGGGCGGGGUUCAGCGGGCGCUCGUCGCCCGUGCACUCCCCGCGCCCCGGGCCAGCAUCAGUUUCGACGGUCGGUCAAAGGCCCCCGGAAUGUGUCGUCUCUAGGGACGUCUUAUAGCCGGGGGUGCAAUGCGGCCCGUCGGGACUGAGGAACGCGCUUCGGCUCGGAUGCUGGCGUAAUGGCCGUAAGCGGCCCGUCUUGAAACACGGACCAAGGAGUCUAACAUCCACGCGAGUGUUCGGGUGUCAAACCCGUGCGCGCAGUGAAAGCGAACGGAGGUGGGAGCCUUUGGGCGCACCAUCGACCGAUCCUGAAGUCUUCGGAUGGAUUUGAGUAGGAGCGUGGCCGUUGGGACCCGAAAGAUGGUGAACUAUGCCUGAAUAGGGUGAAGCCAGAGGAAACUCUGGUGGAGGCUCGCAGCGGUUCUGACGUGCAAAUCGAUCGUCAAAUUUGGGCAUAGGGGCGAAAGACUAAUCGAACCAUCUAGUAGCUGGUUCCUGCCAAU
Molecule: ribosomal RNA, 914 nt
Filed under: Trichophyton sp. DV-2018d
Lineage: Eukaryota; Fungi; Ascomycota; Eurotiomycetes; Onygenales; Arthrodermataceae
Description: LSU rRNA
Rfam family: Eukaryotic large subunit ribosomal RNA
Source: RNAcentral